Peromyscus leucopus (white-footed mouse) is the source of this 1542-nucleotide long non-coding RNA. RefSeq lists it as uncharacterized. The record is from RefSeq and is a predicted model, not a curated record. The transcript is spliced from 4 exons. Lineage: Eukaryota; Metazoa; Chordata; Mammalia; Rodentia; Cricetidae.
CAGGAACCUGGAGGCAGGAACUGAUGCAGAGGCGACGGAGAGCUCUAGAACAAUGACUAAGACAGACAUCGUACUCAGCACAGUACCGGGUACCUCUCACCUUAUCAUGGAAAGUGCCACCUACAGGAAGCUGUUGUCAUUUCAGCAGAAACAGGACAGGAAGUGUGACGGAACGGCAAGGAUGAAGGGGCGGAGAUUGUCGCGAAAGAGGCGCACGGGUUUUGCGAAGCGGGAGGAACUUGUCCCACGGUCCCACCCACCUCCCCAAGAUGGUGGCUGCCUCAAAGCCCAUCCAGCUGCAGCCCUACUGGAGGAGUCCCAUGCCUUUUCUCAGGCUAUCGCCUCCUCCGAACUGCAGAGGACCCCACCGAGCCCAAGUUCCUGAGGCGUCAUGGAUUUCUACAGGCUGCGUCUCCACGGUCCCCAGGAACAAAGCAAACUGUGUCUCCACCCAAGGGUUCGCCCCAGAAACCAGUGAGUGAGUUUAUUAGGCAGAUUUCCAGAGGUGUUGCUUACGGGAGCGUGGACGACCCCAAAGGGCAGGUGACGGCUUCUCAAGGCCUCAUGAGGCACCUCGUCCCUAACCUCCUGCUGCUGCGUGCUAGAAGACCACUCAGGAUCCCGAGGCACAGGCCAGUUUGUGUAGCCUUCACAUACAGAUGACGGGACGAAGAAGUUAGAUGGUAAGAACUCUCCUCAUGACCUCCUUCUGUGAGAGACUGUCAACAGUCCAUCAUGGUGGGCUCUUCCAAGCAGGCACAGCCGGUCUACGUGAUGGCAGCUCUUUUGCUUGGAGACCCUUCUACAAGAACCAGCCUUAAGCAAACUAGAAACCAGAAGUCACCACCCGAUUUUCCCACCCUCACACUUCCCCACACUCAUCCAGCUGCACCUUACCUGGAAAUAUAUAUGGAUAAGUAGGAAAAACAUAAUUUAAAAUUGAAGAGAAAUGUAAACACACUAUGGCAAAACUUGUAGGUGUUACCUGGAGGAAUAUUUAUAGACUGAAACAUAUUUAUUAGGAAAAAAGGAUUAAACAUUGACAUAAUGUAAGUACAGAUGCAGAAUUUCACUGGGAGCGGGCCACUAGCCAGCUGUAGCUGUGAAAUUUGUUAAAAGUGAAUGAAAUUAUCAAUUCAACUCUUUGGUUGCACUGAAUACACUUUAAAGGCUCAAGAGCUACAUGUAGCUGAUGGGGGACAUAGAUAUUUCCAUUCAGGCUCAAAGUCCUAUUGGAACAGAUUCUGGCAUAUUGCAGAAUAAGCGAUAAGAAUCACACUGCUUCAGAGAGAUGCGUGUGCCAUGCCAUAGUGCAUCAAUAACCCAAAGCUUAGGCCUCAGUGGACCAGCGGACAGAAGUCUUCAACAGGUAUUACCCAUGAGAGAAGGAAAGGAAGCUGGAGGGAUGGCUCAGGAGUAAGGUGCUGCUGUGAAGUCUGGGGACCCGCGUUCCCCCGACCCACACAGCGGAAUGAGAGAGCUGACUCCUGCCAGCUGUCCUCUGACCUUUACCCAUGAGAGCCCUGGUGCAGAUGUCCCCGC